UGCAUUAAUGAAAGAUGAGCGGCGGACGGGUGAGUAACGCGUGGGUAACCUGCCCUAUACACAUGGAUAACAUACUGAAAAGUUUACUAAUACAUGAUAAUAUAUAUUUACGGCAUCGUAGAUAUAUCAAAGUGUUAGCGGUAUAGGAUGGACCCGCGUCUGAUUAGCUAGUUGGUGAGAUAACUGCCCACCAAGGCGACGAUCAGUAGCCGACCUGAGAGGGUGAUCGGCCACAUUGGAACUGAGACACGGUCCAAACUCCUACGGGAGGCAGCAGUGGGGAAUAUUGCACAAUGGGCGCAAGCCUGAUGCAGCAACGCCGCGUGAACGAUGAAGGUCUUCGGAUCGUAAAGUUCUGUUGCAGGGGAAGAUAAUGACGGUACCCUGUGAGGAAGCCCCGGCUAACUACGUGCCAGCAGCCGCGGUAAUACGUAGGGGGCUAGCGUUAUCCGGAUUUACUGGGCGUAAAGGGUGCGUAGGUGGUCUUUCAAGUCGGUGGUUAAAGGCUACGGCUCAACCGUAGUUAGCCUCCGAAACUGGAAGACUUGAGUGCAGGAGAGGAAAGUGGAAUUCCCAGUGUAGCGGUGAAAUGCGUAGAUAUUGGGAGGAACACCAGUAGCGAAGGCGGCUUUCUGGACUGCAACCGACACUGAGGCACGAAAGCGUGGGUAGCAAACAGGAUUAGAUACCCUGGUAGUCCACGCUGUAAACGAUGAGUACUAGGUGUCGGGGGUUACCCCCCUCGGUGCCGCAGCUAACGCAUUAAACACUCCGCCUGGGGAGUACGC
Molecule: ribosomal RNA, 788 nt
Filed under: uncultured Clostridia bacterium
Lineage: Bacteria; Bacillati; Bacillota; Clostridia
Description: bacterial SSU rRNA
Rfam family: Bacterial small subunit ribosomal RNA
Source: RNAcentral